UUAAUUGAAGCCAAAGUAAGAGGCUAUUCAUUGUUAAUGAAUAAAAUGGUUGCCCUAACCCAAUUAAA
RNAcentral lists this transfer RNA (68 nucleotides) under Coptosoma variegatum. RNAcentral's name for it is "tRNA-Asn". The record is from RNAcentral. Lineage: Eukaryota; Metazoa; Arthropoda; Insecta; Hemiptera; Plataspidae.